GGGGCUGUAGCUCAGUGGCAGAGCCCUUGCCUAGCAUGUAUGAGGUACUGGGUUUGAUCCUCAGCACUACA
Molecule: transfer RNA, 71 nt
Filed under: Marmota monax (woodchuck)
Lineage: Eukaryota; Metazoa; Chordata; Mammalia; Rodentia; Sciuridae
Description: tRNA.Ala
Source: RNAcentral